ACGGGUGAGUAACACGUGAGUAACCUGCCCUUAACUCUGGGAUAAGCCUGGGAAACUGGGUCUAAUACCGGAUAUGACUCCUCAUCGCAUGGUGGGGGGUGGAAAGCUUUUUGUGGUUUUGGAUGGACUCGCGGCCUAUCAGCUUGUUGGUGAGGUAAUGGCUUACCAAGGCGACGACGGGUAGCCGGCCUGAGAGGGUGACCGGCCACACUGGGACUGAGACACGGCCCAGACUCCUACGGGAGGCAGCAGUGGGGAAUAUUGCACAAUGGGCGCAAGCCUGAUGCAGCGACGCCGCGUGAGGGAUGACGGCCUUCGGGUUGUAAACCUCUUUCAGUAGGGAAGAAGCGAAAGUGACGGUACCUGCAGAAGAAGCGCCGGCUAACUACGUGCCAGCAGCCGCGGUAAUACGUAGGGCGCAAGCGUUAUCCGGAAUUAUUGGGCGUAAAGAGCUCGUAGGCGGUUUGUCGCGUCUGCCGUGAAAGUCCGGGGCUCAACUCCGGAUCUGCGGUGGGUACGGGCAGACUAGAGUGAUGUAGGGGAGACUGGAAUUCCUGGUGUAGCGGUGAAAUGCGCAGA
RNAcentral lists this ribosomal RNA (579 nucleotides) under uncultured bacterium. Its description in RNAcentral is "bacterial SSU rRNA". It matches the Rfam family "Bacterial small subunit ribosomal RNA", at positions 102 to 694 of the family's 1533-position model. The record is from RNAcentral.